This 63-nucleotide transfer RNA is filed under the name Leptoglossus membranaceus. Its description in RNAcentral is "tRNA-Gly". It matches the Rfam family "tRNA". From Rfam's summary of the family: Transfer RNA (tRNA) molecules are approximately 80 nucleotides in length. Lineage: Eukaryota; Metazoa; Arthropoda; Insecta; Hemiptera; Coreidae. The record is from RNAcentral.
ACUUUUUUAGUAUAAAUAAUAUAUUUGACUUCCAAUCAAAAGAUCUUUUAACAAGAAAAAGUA